Molecule: long non-coding RNA, 1611 nt
Filed under: Trifolium pratense (red clover)
Lineage: Eukaryota; Viridiplantae; Streptophyta; Magnoliopsida; Fabales; Fabaceae
Description: long non-coding RNA (TPRA_LNC005947)
Source: RNAcentral
UUGGCGCUUAACUUUUGUUCUUGCCAGCUAUUUUACUGUUUUGAAUAUUUAAUUGAGUUCAAAUAAUUCUUUUUACAAUAAAUUUGAGGAGUAAUUUAGGAGGAUUAUUUUGAAAAUAAAACGGAUUUAGUAGAUAAUUAACUAGGUGGUUAGAGAGUAUAAAUCAGUAUAGUUGAGUGGAGUUAAUUAGGAUUAACUAAAUUAUUUUAUCUAAUCUUUAAAAUGAUGAUGGUGAUUAAUAUUCUUGAAAUAUAUUAGUGAGGUAUGAAUGAGACUAAAUUGAUGUGUUAGUUAUUGUACUUAAUUGACAAACUGUAUUUGUGAGUUUAUUGAUGAUGUUUCAUUGACGUGAAUUAUUGAUGAAUUCUAUUUCUGUAUUAAAUGAUAUGAAUUCUAUUGGUAUUUUAAUGAUGAUGUUAGCGCGUAUGCACAAUGAAGGUGCUUUUCGUGCUUAUGCACAAUGACGAAGUGAGAUUAUUCAGUAAUAUAAUUUUGAUGUCCAAUUUUGAUAAUGAUGUGUUGUUGAUAGUAGUAUGUAUGAUUGAUGUGUUGAUAUAAUGAUAUGUCCAUGCAUACAUUCAUGAUGUUCGUUCCUUUGGGAUAAUGCGUUGUUCAUGCCUUUGACAUAUUAUUGGUGCAUGCCUUUGGCAUAAUGACGGUGUGGGAUCUUUCGGUAAUAUAACUCUGACGCCCAAAAAUUUGGUACCACAUGCAUAUAGGUCGAGUCUAGGGAAUCAUUGCAUACUUAUUUGCAAUAGUUGAAAUGUUGUGUGAUUGAUUUAAUCGAUUGAUUAGUGAUAUAAAUUGAAGUGUUGAUUAAAUGGUAUAAAUGAUGUAUGAAUUAUUAAUGUGAUAUAGACAUGUUUAUAUCUUGUUGUGUUAUUUUCUAUUUUUACUUAUUACAUAAACUUUUAUGUUAUGGGCUCUUGGGAGUCCAGGUCCUCAGGUUAUUUGAUUCUCGGUGUUCUAUCUUUCGGUGAAGCUCCGCUCUAAUGGUGACUCAUGCAUGGGAAGAGUCUUUAGAGUCUUAUGUGUUGCUGUUAUUCUAGACUAAAAUGUAUUGCUUAGAAUAGGAUUUGUCACAUUCUACAUUUAUGCUAAGUAAUUAUCUUAGGAAUGUAAGAUGUAGAGGUUAAUACCUUAAACUAAUAUUUUUAUACUUUCACUUUUGCAGUUUAAAGUAAUUAAAGUUGUUUUUAUCCGCCGAGUAAAUUUAAAGAGUAUGCUGAAUCUAGAAUAAUAUGGAUAUUGGAUUUUGGGUGUUACAUAAAUUACACUGGAAAAAAAAUUCGAAAAAUAUUUUCUGAAGUUUUUUGCACGAAAAGAGAAAUUUUGUGGUGAAAAGAGAAAUAAUCGGAAAGAAAUUGGUUCCUUACAUUUUCUUGAAUAGAAAGUCCAGUUCAAUCCUAGCCAUUGGAUUUAAAGUGUAAGGCAUCUGGGUUAAAUCACCACCAUUUUUUUCUUUACUCAUCCAAAAUAAAACAAAAAUAUUCUUAUUAUAAAAUAUCUAGAUAUUUCCUAAUUAGUUUCACAUCACCUCGCUUGGUUUUCGCAUUAGCUCUUAAACGAGUUGUAUCUCACGUAAAGAUAACUUUACGAAAAAUAGAAAAA